Molecule: long non-coding RNA, 130 nt
Organism: Tachyglossus aculeatus (Australian echidna)
Lineage: Eukaryota; Metazoa; Chordata; Mammalia; Monotremata; Tachyglossidae
Exons: 3
Source: RefSeq, a predicted model, not a curated record
CCACCUACCGCAAAUUACUGGAGGGGGUGGAGAGCAGGAUUACCCUGCCGGUUCCAAGCUUUUCUUCCUUGAACCUGAGAGAAACCAACAUUGACUCCCACCCUUUGGUGGACACCCAUUCCAAGAGAAG